CUGCCGUUACGGUCGGGCCGAGACGCGGCGGUUCUGAGGAACUUCGGGCCGCGACUUUGUGCCAGGAUCGAGAGCAGGAUGAGGCAGCACCGGAUCGAACAAGGGCUCCCCCCGAGCCCCCCCGCUCCACAAGCCCCGCCCCCCGCCGUGGCUCCGCCCACCGCUGAAUACAGGCCCCGCCCAAACUCCGCCCCUUUCAUCCUAUUGGUCGCUUUGCUCAGGACCAAUCAGCCACUCCAGGAGGCGGAGCUUCGGCGUCUGGCUCCGCCCCUUUGCACACGGCCCAUUGUGAGUGGACGUCAAUGGGGGCCUAUGGGGGUCUAUUGGGUCCUAUAGGGGUCCUAUGGGGAUAUGGGGGGGGGUCCUAUGGGGGUCUAUUGGGUCCUAUGGGGUCCCAUGGUGGUCUUGGGGGUCCUAUAGGGAUAUGGGGCGGGUGGUCAGAGCCAGAGAGAGAAUGGACACCCCAUAGGAAUGAAUCAACCCAUAGGAAAUGGGUCAGCCCCAUAGGGACUGAAUUGCCCCAUAGGGACAAGAACACCCCAUAGGGAAUGGGUCACCCCAUAGGGAAUGGGUCACCCCAUAGGGACCCAGUUACCCUAUAGGAACCAGAACACCCCAUAGGGAAUGAGUCACCCCAUACGGACUGAAUCACCCCAUAGGGACCUGGUUACCCUAUAGGAAAUGGGUCACCCCAUAGGGACCAGGUCACCCCAUAGGGAUCCGGUUACCCCAUAGGGAAUGGGUCAGCCCCAUAGGGAUAAAGAACACCCCAUAGGGAAUGGGUCACCCCAUAGGGACUGAAUUGUCCCAUAGGGACAAGAACACCCCCAUAGGAAUGAAGUGCACCCCAUAUGGGGA
This 858-nucleotide long non-coding RNA is filed under the name Coturnix japonica (Japanese quail). RNAcentral's name for it is "lncRNA (ENSCJPG00005002887.1)". The record is from RNAcentral. Lineage: Eukaryota; Metazoa; Chordata; Aves; Galliformes; Phasianidae.